Molecule: ribosomal RNA, 228 nt
Filed under: uncultured Anaerolineaceae bacterium
Lineage: Bacteria; Bacillati; Chloroflexota; Anaerolineae; Anaerolineales; Anaerolineaceae
Description: partial 16S ribosomal RNA
Rfam family: Bacterial small subunit ribosomal RNA
Source: RNAcentral
UCAAGCCGGAGGAAGGUGGGGAGUGACGUCAAGUCAGCAUGGCCUUUAUAUCCUGGGCUACACACACGCUACAAUGGGAAGGGACAAUAGGUUGCGAAGCCGCGAGGCGGAGCCAAUCCAGCAAAACUUCCCUCAGUUCAGAUUGCAGGCUGCAACUCGCCUGCAUGAAGUUGGAGUUGCUAGUAAACGCAGGUCAGCCAUACUGCGUUGAAUACGUUCCCGGGGCUU